This 1079-nucleotide long non-coding RNA is filed under the name Physcomitrium patens. RNAcentral's name for it is "long non-coding RNA (PPAT_LNC008774)". Lineage: Eukaryota; Viridiplantae; Streptophyta; Bryopsida; Funariales; Funariaceae. The record is from RNAcentral.
UUUGAUUUAGGAUUAGGAUUUGGUUAGGAUUUUAUUUAGGAUUAGGAUUUGGUUAGGAUUUGAUUUAGUAUUUAAGAUUAGGAUUAGGAUUUCAUUAUGAUUUAAUUAAGAUUUACUUUAGGAUUAGGAUUUGAUUUAGGGUUAGGAUUUGGUUUAGGAUUUAGGAUUUGGUUAGGAUUUGGUUUAGGAUUUAGGAUUUGGUUAGGAUUUAGAAUUAGGGUUAGGAUUUGAUUAGGAUUUGAUUUAAUAUUAGGGUUUAGAAUUUGGUUAAGAUUUGAUUUAGAAUUGGAUUUUGAUUUAAGAUUUAGGAUUUGAUUAGGGUUUGAUUUAGGAUUAAGGCUUGGUUUAGGAUUUAAGAUUUAGUUAGGAUUUGGUUUAGGAUUUAGAAUUUGAUUAGGAUUUGAUUUAGGAUUUAGAAUUUGCUUUAGGAUUUAAGAUUUAGUUUAGGGUUUAAGAUUUGAUUAGGGUUUGAUCAAGAUUUGAUUUAGGAUUUAGGAUUUUAUUUGAAUUUGUUGAGGAUUUAAGAUUUAGUUAGUUUUUUGCCUAAAGUUUGAAUGAAGUAAGAUUUCAACUAGGAUUAAAUUAAGAUUGAAUUGAGAUGUAUUUGAAAUAUGUUUGUAAUCAUUCUAAUAUUUCUUUAAGAUUUCUUAUUGUUUCUUUGGAAUUCUUUUGAAGUUUCUCUGAAUUUGAUUAAAGCUUGUUUAGUAUUGUUAGUGUUCUAUUAGAAUUAGGAUUUUGUUUUUAAAAUUUUUAUUCUACCUUCCACAACUAGGUGCCCGGAGCAUUCUCAAGCAAGACUUCACGUAUUACGACACCGGAGUCUAUGAAGAUCCACCUUAUAUUUUACGUAUCUUUUCUUAAGUCAUUUAAGACAUGCAAUAUUUUGGGAAGAAAACAAAUGAUACUUCUUUUUAUAGAAGUGGAUAACAAUGAAAAGUUUAAGGUAGAAGAAGUCUUAGACUGAAGGUGGUGCUGAAAUAGGUUAGAUUAUUUUGUUCAUUAGCACGGAUAUGAUAUUAAUGAACGCAUAUGGGAGCCAUAAAAAAAUCUUGCAAAUGCAACAAAGAAAGUUGAAGCUU